This 155-nucleotide small RNA is filed under the name Arabidopsis thaliana (thale cress). Its description in RNAcentral is "ATSL130600". Lineage: Eukaryota; Viridiplantae; Streptophyta; Magnoliopsida; Brassicales; Brassicaceae. The record is from RNAcentral.
AAAAAGGAAUUGAAAGAUGAAAACAAAAAAGAAAGAAGAAUAUAAACGAGAAAGAAACGCAACCACCAACUACAAACCCGUUCUCUCUUCUUCUUCGUCUUUCUACUUUUGUGUGUCUCUAUAGAGAGAGAGAAUGGAGAAGAGAGAGAUAGAAA